Small nuclear RNA from Mesocricetus auratus (golden hamster), 106 nucleotides. NCBI's taxonomy places the organism in Eukaryota, Metazoa, Chordata, Mammalia, Rodentia, Cricetidae. The record is from Ensembl.
AUGCUCGCUACUACAGCACAAAAACUAAGCCUGGAAAGAUACACAGAAGAUUAGUAUGUCCUCUGCAUAUGGAUGUCAGCAAAUUCAUAAGGCAUUCCAUAGUUUU